CUUUAAUCCCAUUUUCUUGGGCUCACAUAUAUCCUGGGGCAUUGUGAGGUAAGAAUAAGUCAGUCAGGAAUCAAACAAAAUUCAAAGAAAUGGAUAGGCAUCAUGAUAUGGUUUGGCUCUGUGUCCCCACCCAAAUCUCAUCUCAAAUUAUAAUCCCCACAUAUCAAGGGAGGGACCUGUUGGGAGGUGAUUGAAUCAUGGGGUGGUUUCCCCCAGGCUGUUCUUGUGAUAGUGAGGGAGUUCUCACAAUAUCUGGUUGUUUGAUAAGUGUCUGGCAUUUCCCCUGCUUUCUUGCUCUCUCUCCUGCUGCCUUGUGAAGGAGGUAGCUUGCUUACCCUUUGCCUUCCACCAUGAUUGUAAAUUUUGAAGGCCCCCUGGCCAUGCAGAACUUUCAGUGAAUUAAACCUCUUUUCACUAUAAAUUACCCAGUCUUUGGUAUCUUUAUAGCGAUGUUAUAACAGACUAAUAUUAAUACAUAUCACUUCUUUAGGGAAGGCAGCAAACAAGAUGCUAACUGAUGGAGUGAAAUCCCCAGGAGAUGCAGAAGGCAAGUGCAGCUAACUGAGGCCUCAGGGGCAGGAGAUGCCCAUCAGGAUGAGAGCUAUGUCUUUCUCCAGUGAUGACUCUGCUUCUAUGAGGUCACCAGCAGUAGAACCAUAUCUUGCUGGCAUACACUUGGGAUGGCCCCGCCUCUUGGACUUCCAUCUGUCAUCAGGAGAACAUGACCAUCUGGAGUCAGUACAGAUCAUCAAUCCUUCCACAUAUACAAGUUCAUUUUAAAUUUUUAAAAAUAUAAUACAACUGAG
Molecule: long non-coding RNA, 806 nt
Filed under: Pan troglodytes (chimpanzee)
Lineage: Eukaryota; Metazoa; Chordata; Mammalia; Primates; Hominidae
Description: long non-coding RNA NONPTRT011084
Source: RNAcentral